Molecule: ribosomal RNA, 592 nt
Filed under: Escherichia coli
Lineage: Bacteria; Pseudomonadati; Pseudomonadota; Gammaproteobacteria; Enterobacterales; Enterobacteriaceae
Description: partial 23S ribosomal RNA
Rfam family: Bacterial large subunit ribosomal RNA
Source: RNAcentral
UUAAUGUUUGAUGUUCUAACGUGGACCCGUAAUCCGGGUUGCGGACAGUGUCUGGUGGGUAGUUUGACUGGGGCGGUCUCCUCCUAAAGAGUAACGGAGGAGCACGAAGGUUGGCUAAUCCUGGUCGGACAUCAGGAGGUUAGUGCAAUGGCAUAAGCCAGCUUGACUGCGAGCGUGACGGCGCGAGCAGGUGCGAAAGCAGGUCAUAGUGAUCCGGUGGUUCUGAAUGGAAGGGCCAUCGCUCAACGGAUAAAAGGUACUCCGGGGAUAACAGGCUGAUACCGCCCAAGAGUUCAUAUCGACGGCGGUGUUUGGCACCUCGAUGUCGGCUCAUCACAUCCUGGGGCUGAAGUAGGUCCCAAGGGUAUGGCUGUUCGCCAUUUAAAGUGGUACGCGAGCUGGGUUUAGAACGUCGUGAGACAGUUCGGUCCCUAUCUGCCGUGGGCGCUGGAGAACUGAGGGGGGCUGCUCCUAGUACGAGAGGACCGGAGUGGACGCAUCACUGGUGUUCGGGUUGUCAUGCCAAUGGCACUGCCCGGUAGCUAAAUGCGGAAGAGAUAAGUGCUGAAAGCAUCUAAGCACGAAACUUGCC